This 276-nucleotide ribosomal RNA is filed under the name uncultured bacterium. RNAcentral describes it as "partial 16S ribosomal RNA". It matches the Rfam family "Bacterial small subunit ribosomal RNA", at positions 82 to 354 of the family's 1533-position model. The record is from RNAcentral.
CCGUUGCCGGCGACCGGCGCACGGGUGAGUAACACGUAUGCAACCUGCCCGUGGCAGGGGGAUAAGCGGGGGAAACCCCGUCUAAUACCGCGUAACGCGGCCUUGGGGCAUCCCAAGGCCGCCAAAGGGAGCAAUCCCGGCCACGGAUGGGCAUGCGGCGCAUUAGCUAGUCGGCGGGGUAACGGCCCACCGAGGCGACGAUGCGUAGGGGUUCUGAGAGGAAGGCCCCCCACACCGGUACUGAGACACGGACCAGACUCCUACGGGAGGCAGCAG